ACCGGCAGCUCAAGUGGUGGCCAUUUUUAUUGGGCCUAAAGCGUUCGUAGCCGGUUUGAUAAGUCUCUGGUGAAAUCCCGCAGCUUAACUGUGGGACUUGCUGGAGAUACUAUUAGACUUGAGGUCGGGAGAGGUUAGGGGUACUCCCAGGGUAGGGGUGAAAGGAGAUAAUCGGGGGGGGAGCAACUGAGGCGAAGGCGGCGAACUGGAAAGAACCUCUCGGUGAUUAACUAAAUUCAUUGUCGCCUAACG
RNAcentral lists this ribosomal RNA (252 nucleotides) under uncultured prokaryote. RNAcentral's name for it is "partial 16S rRNA". It matches the Rfam family "Archaeal small subunit ribosomal RNA", at positions 475 to 726 of the family's 1478-position model. The record is from RNAcentral.